CUCUCACCUAGAAAUUCUCUCUUAGGAGCUGAUCAAAAUCAAACUAAGAAAUUUUUUACACAUGUGAGUCUUGGGGACUUCAGGGUCAUUCAAGGCAGAAUCAGGCCAUAAAUAGUAAUGCCAGAGAUGACAGGAUGUGUAGAGGGACAGGGGAAAAAUCUUACAGUGAAAGAAGAGUAGGGGAGUCUUGAAGUAUAAGUCCUUUGGGGGUCAGAGGACUUUAGAGAAGCUGAUGUUGUAAAAGAAAACAGACUUGUCACCUCUGGCAAAGCCUCAACAUAUGGGUAUGUAUCCGUCAGGGUUCAGCCAGAGAAGCAGAACAACUGGAAGAUAAUUAGAAUUAUCAGCAGAUUCCAAAAACUCACUCUGAACUUGGAGACCAGAAUCCUACCUGCUGGAGCAAAUUGCAUCUCGAGUUUUGAGAAUCAGCACCCUUAUUAAGCAGAGAAUGACUGAAAGAUCAUUGAGGAUCACAUAUCAAAGGCACUUUAUUUGAAAUUUUCAAAGAAUCAACAGAAAAUAUUUUUAUCUACUUUAAAUGAAUGACAGAAAAGAACACAGAGACCCAUGAAUUCAAUGAAAAAGACAUAUUAUUCAUGAAUAAUGAACGACUGCUGUAGCCCAGAGAAAUGAUGGUAAGAACUGAUUCCCAGCCUUUCAUUCUUGUCUUUUAGUGUCAACAGAGUAAAGAAAAGUGAUGGCCUCACCUGGCCCUACACUGUCUCGUGACAUCAAGCUCUCACCAAAUGUGACCCACCCCUUGGAUCCCUGAUUCAUUCACCUGGCACCCUCCACUUUUAAAGCAUUCUAUCCUACCACUGCCAGACUCCACCUUAAGUCCCAAUCUGGUGUGAUUUCCACAUGACUGAACACCAUUCCAGAGAGCUCAUCUCUAGCUGGCACCCCUGGUUGGCCUCCUCUGUUCUAACAUUCCUAAGCAUGGACCACUCAUACCUGCAUGUUUCACAUUUCCCUGAGGGCUGGCGUCUCGUACCUCCUCCACCAGGUUUUUGAGCAAGAGCUUCUUUCACUUCAACCCCCUCUGGGGAGAGUCUGUAAGCAGGCCUAUGGGAACAAACAGCAUCUUUGUCCUCACCCUUUACAUCCAAGUACAUCUGAAGAUAUCAGUUAUAAAGAGAGUGGAUUUCUAAACUUUGGAAAUUGGAAAUUUCCUUAGUCCAAUAAUCCUUUAGGGGCACUAUGGGUCAUCCUGGCUGUAUCCCCGUCUCUUCAGAUUGCCCACUAACCUAGAUCAAUGGGCCUACUAAAGCAGCUUUUGUUCUAAUAA
This is a long non-coding RNA of Homo sapiens (human), 1288 nucleotides long. Ensembl annotates it as THOC3 antisense RNA 1. Its record names the gene THOC3-AS1. NCBI's taxonomy places the organism in Eukaryota, Metazoa, Chordata, Mammalia, Primates, Hominidae. The record is from Ensembl.